This 342-nucleotide ribosomal RNA is filed under the name uncultured bacterium. Its description in RNAcentral is "bacterial SSU rRNA". It matches the Rfam family "Bacterial small subunit ribosomal RNA", at positions 967 to 1304 of the family's 1533-position model. The record is from RNAcentral.
AACCUUACCAGGCCUUGACAUGGUAGGGAACCCGGGUGAAAGCCUGGGGUGCCCCGCGAGGGGAGCCCUAGCACAGGUGCUGCAUGGCCGUUGUCAGCUUGUUCCGUGAGGUGUUGGGUUAAGUCCCGCAACGAGCGCAACCCCCGCCGUUAGUUGCCAGCGGGUGAGGCCGGGCACUCUAACGGGACUGCCCGCGAAAGCGGGAGGAAGGAGGGGACGACGUCUGGUCAGCAUGGCCCUUACGGCCUGGGCGACACACGUGCUACAAUGCCCACUACAAAGCGAUGCCACCCGGCAACGGGGAGCUAAUCGCAAAAAGGUGGGCCCAGUUCGGAUUGGGGU